UACUUGAAAGGUGUCGUGCACUCCAGUUCUCAGACUGAAACAGUGCAGAAAUACAAGAUUCUCUGUGGUGGCUCAAUUGCAGUGAAGAAUUGCCAGAAAUGGUUAACAGAAAACAGGCAUGAAUUGAAUUUUUGGUUGUUUCGUGGAGGAUUUGCUAAGCUUUUACCUAUUUCUCAUGUUUAUACUGUAUGCUGCCCAGUUGAUGAUGGCCAUGUUUCAAAUGUCAGCAACACUCAUCCAACUCAAAGGUUCAGGUUUGCAUAUCACAGUGGAGAUACUGGAGACUAACGGACAGUGAAUUGUGCUUGAUUAACAGUGUGAAAUAAAGCUUUUUGGAAUGACUAAGCUGAUAGAUAU
This 357-nucleotide long non-coding RNA is filed under the name Anser brachyrhynchus (Pink-footed goose). RNAcentral's name for it is "lncRNA (ENSABRG00000020171.1)". The record is from RNAcentral. Lineage: Eukaryota; Metazoa; Chordata; Aves; Anseriformes; Anatidae.